RNAcentral lists this long non-coding RNA (2757 nucleotides) under Malus domestica (apple). Its description in RNAcentral is "long non-coding RNA (MDOM_LNC009642)". The record is from RNAcentral. Lineage: Eukaryota; Viridiplantae; Streptophyta; Magnoliopsida; Rosales; Rosaceae.
CACCUCUCUCUCAGUAAUCUUACAAGAUUAUUGAUCAUAUUCUGUAUUUUCAAGGUGCUUAAUUUGGAGAAACUGUAUUAUCUCACAGAGAUCAUGAUGGUGAAGGAGGUGAGCUACAUGCACAACUGGGGUGAAGUUGCACCGACCCUUUUCAUAUCUCAUCAGAAAUCUUCGAAAUGUCCAGAGCUGGAGACAAUUGUUGAAGAAGCAGGACCAGUUGGAUCUCAGAUUAACGUUGAAAUUCUACCGUUUUCAAAGAGGGCGUUGUUUCUGGUUCCAGUGUUUGUUUCUUGUGUUUCUUAUUUCCUGUUGUACAGAUAUGAUGUUUGAUUGUUGACUGGUGUACAUGGAAUAGAUUUGAAAGAUCGAGGGUAGAUUCGUCUCAGAAGAUAUUUAGGAUUAAUUGCUAAUGGAUCCGGAUUAUGUAUCAUAGCAGAUUGAUUAAUUUCAUUGCAAUGUACAUGCUCAUGGCAUUCACAUUGGAAGUAUAAAGGCAGAUUCUUUGAAUUCAUGAAUUGAUAACAUUUUGCAUUUCAAUCUUAAAAUUUUGUUAUUGUAUAAAGUAUUGAUCGCAUGAUGACUGUAUGUCGUCUCGUCUUUUAACAUGACUUUACAUGGUCUUGCUCUUCGAUGAUAACUUUAUGUCGCCUCUCUAUUCAGCAACGAUCGGUGUAUAUGCUGAUUUGGAUAUGUUGAGUCUAUCGUGUUUAGUGACAGAUUUGCAUUGGUGUCAUUUGUAGUUUUGUGCGUGUGGUAGCCAUUUAGGGGUUUUACUCGUGUGUUUGUGCAAUCAAUUUAUUGGUUUAAUGGAAAACCACUUGUUUUCCUAUGUUUAGUAAAUCAGGCUUGGAAAAAAAAAACGUAAUUAAUGCCGAAAAAUGAGGUGGGAAAAUAAAACCCACGAGGGAUGGAGGGUUUGCAUAUUCCCCACUCUUUAUUCCCGUCAUUUAUUACGCACUUCGAACAUCAAUCACAUUUGUUUAGGACAAUAUUAUCCUCAUUAACUGUUGAAAAACCAAAUAUGCCCAUAAUUACUCUUCGUACUUUUCUUUUUCAAUUUUAUCCCUAGUACGAAAUAAAAAUACAAUUUUUUUUCCAGAAAAGAUAUGAGAAAUUAUUUUCCAUGUAUUCUUUUUCGCCUACCAAAUGCACCUUAAAGCAUUGAUGAAGAAAAAUAUAUCACUAAUGUAGUAUAUAUCCCAAGUCAUCAUUAUGGUUCGUUUCGUGUCUAGGAUUGAUUGGAUGGUAUAUAUGUCAUAAAAUUCAAUGUGUGAUGAAUAAAAAAAUGAAGAUAGAAGUGUACGAUUUUUAUUUUUCUGGGGGAUUAGAAGAAUUAAUUCUACUAUCUUAUGGGACUGAAAUGAAUGAAUUUUCCUCAUAGUAUUUUUAUUGUCACCUCACCUUAGGACAAAAAAUUUCUUCAUUUCCUUAAAGAAUCUAUUAAGUUAACCAAUUCAUUUAUGACCAGAAUAUUUGAAGGCUUUGAAAGGGGAGAGAGAUAAGAAAUAUUGUACCUUGUGGGAAGCCAAUUUCUUUUUUCAAUUAAUGGCACUAUUACAAAAAUAUUUGGCUAAAAACCAUUCCAUGCCUCACAUUGCAACAUAUUGUUUGUUUCAAUAUGUUUCUUCCUAAUACAUGACAUGCAUGCAUUUGCUAGAUAUCUCAUAUCUUCUACUUUUGCAUAAAAAAAGGCUUGGUGAGCACAUUAUCAGACUGAUCAAAAGAGACAAUGAAGUGAACGCGAUGGUUACCCAGCGCCACAUAUAUGCUUUCAUGCACCAAUAUAUAUAUAUGUCAAACCACAAAUUCAUUGAACAACAAGAUAUACAUAAAUCCAGAGAGGAACAAAGGAAGAGCAUAGAAGAACACCCCCUUCUGCACACCUUGGAAGCUCCCUUCCGACCCCUCUUCGAUUAUGGGCUCUAGUUUUGUAAAGCUGGAAGAUUUUCUGUUGUGGGAUGUCGAAAUGGCCGCCGGUGCAACCUCUCCCCAACUCUGCAUGCUUUUGAACCCCUUCCCCAUUUUAUUUCUCUCCAAACUCUUUGUAUAAAGAUUUAUUUUGAAGAUCACUUGCUAGUUCCUUCUUCUUCUUCGUCGUCUUCUUCUUUUUGGAAGAUUUUUCGGGUGAAGGGUUUUAAUUAAUUUAGGAGAAGAAUGAAGAGAGGUUUUGAAGGAACUAGCAAAUCAAUGGUGUGGGGAAUUGAUCGUCAAUAUUAUUGCGUUUUUCAAUUGGGAAUUAAUGGUAUAGAGUGACAUAGAUUAUAUAGGGCUCAAAGGAUGAUUAGGGUUCCAAAAAUAGGGAAAGGAAGGAUGGGUUUUGGAAACGUGAACCAACCAAUAUAUUGCAGGCAAAUCCAUGUUUGAACAUGUCUUAAAACGAAAUUUCAAAUGAUGGUUUUUUUUAGCCAAUGGAAUCCAUGAAACUUGUUAAAUGUUUUUGUUUAUUUUUUCAUUCAAAAGGAUAUCAAUUUUCAUAAAAUUAGGAAGGAUAAUAGAAAAUUCGUACAGUCGUUGUGAAGCCACAUAUUUAUACCACAUUGGUGCACUGCAUGAUAUGGCAAAUGAUUCCUACAAUCACUAGUCAAUGUGAUGAAUUCAUUAAUUGAUGUGUCAAGUAUACAUCAUCUGUCACACUAAAUGGUACACCAAUAUAUUAUCCGUAGCAUUUUCCAUAUAGGUUACUUAAAAAUAGAGACCAACUUGCAUUUCACCCAAAAUAAAUUUUCAUUCAUCUUAUAGUACAAGGAUACAGAGAAA